Molecule: ribosomal RNA, 253 nt
Filed under: uncultured bacterium
Lineage: Bacteria
Description: partial 16S ribosomal RNA
Rfam family: Bacterial small subunit ribosomal RNA
Source: RNAcentral
UACGUAGGUGGCAAGCGUUGUCCGGAUUUAUUGGGUUUAAAGGGUGCGUAGGUGGCUAACUAAGUCAGUGGUGAAAUAUCUCAGCUUAACUGAGAGGGUGCCAUUGAUACUGGAUAGCUUGAGUACAGAUGAGGUAGGCGGAAUUGACGGUGUAGCGGUGAAAUGCAUAGAUAUCGUCAAGGACACCGAUAGCGAAGGCAGCUUACCAAGCUGUAACUGACACUGAGGCACGAAAGUGUGGGGAUCAAACAGG